RNAcentral lists this ribosomal RNA (253 nucleotides) under uncultured Cytophaga sp. RNAcentral describes it as "partial 16S ribosomal RNA". It matches the Rfam family "Bacterial small subunit ribosomal RNA", at positions 524 to 776 of the family's 1533-position model. Lineage: Bacteria; Pseudomonadati; Bacteroidota; Cytophagia; Cytophagales; Cytophagaceae. The record is from RNAcentral.
UACGUAGGUGGCGAGCGUUGUCCGGAUUUAUUGGGUUUAAAGGGUGCGUAGGCGGCCCCGUAAGUCAGUGGUGAAAUACGGCAGCUCAACUGUCGAGGUGCCAUUGAUACUGCGGGGCUUGAGUACAGUCGAGGUAGGCGGAAUUGACGGUGUAGCGGUGAAAUGCUUAGAUAUCGUCAAGAACACCGAUAGCGAAGGCAGCUUGCUAGGCUGUAACUGACGCUGAGGCACGAAAGUGCGGGGAUCAAACAGG